CGGACGGGUGAGUAACGCGUGGGCAACCUGCCUCAUACAGGGGGAUAACAGUUAGAAAUGACUGCUAAUACCGCAUAAGACCACAGGAUUGCAUGAUCCGGUGGUAAAAACUCCGGUGGUAUGAGAUGGACCCGCGUCUGAUUAGGUAGUUGGUGGGGUAACGGCUCACCAAGCCGACGAUCAGUAGCCGACCUGAGAGGGUGACCGGCCACAUUGGGACUGAGACACGGCCCAGACUCCUACGGGAGGCAGCAUG
This 256-nucleotide ribosomal RNA is filed under the name uncultured bacterium. RNAcentral describes it as "partial 16S ribosomal RNA". It matches the Rfam family "Bacterial small subunit ribosomal RNA", at positions 99 to 353 of the family's 1533-position model. The record is from RNAcentral.